Molecule: ribosomal RNA, 375 nt
Filed under: uncultured bacterium
Lineage: Bacteria
Description: bacterial SSU rRNA
Rfam family: Bacterial small subunit ribosomal RNA
Source: RNAcentral
GACGAACGCUGGCGGCGUGCUUAACACAUGCAAGUCGAGCGGUAAGGCCCUUUCGGGGGUACACGAGCGGCGAACGGGUGAGUAACACGUGGGUGACCUGCCCUCAGCUCUGGGAUAAGCCUGGGAAACCGGGUCUAAUACCGGAUAUGACCUCAUGACGCAUGUUGUGGGGUGGAAAGCCUUGUGCGGCUGAGGAUGGGCCCGCGGCCUAUCAGCUUGUUGGUGGGGUGAUGGCCUACCAAGGCGACGACGGGUAGCCGGCCUGAGAGGGCGACCGGCCACACUGGGACUGAGACACGGCCCAGACUCCUACGGGAGGCAGCAGUGGGGAAUCUUGCGCAAUGGGCGAAAGCCUGACGCAGCGACGCCGCGUGA